Long non-coding RNA from Mauremys mutica (yellowpond turtle), 1269 nucleotides. RefSeq lists it as uncharacterized. The record is from RefSeq and is a predicted model, not a curated record. The transcript is spliced from 5 exons. NCBI's taxonomy places the organism in Eukaryota, Metazoa, Chordata, Testudines, Geoemydidae.
GGGGAGAACCCACGAUAGAUUAAAAGUUAAACUCAGUGGAGCUUUCAUUGUGGAUUGUAUUCUGCUUUUGAGUUUGGUUGAAAGACUCCAGGGAGAAGCCCUGACUAGCCUGACAGAAGGGUGGAACGGAAGAGGACCCCGGGAGGAGCAGAAGAUGUGUCAAUGACCAGUGUCAAGUGGGACACUAUCCACGUGGGAUGUUUAUAUCCUGGGAAGGAAAAGACUGUACAGUGGCCUGGCCAGAGGGCUGAGUCACAAGAAGAGAGACCACUGCAGAGCCCAAGUGUCUGUCAGCAGGGGGCGCUGGACGAGGACAGAGCUGCUAGGCCAUGACAAGCCAGAAAGGGGUAUGCCUCCAGUGAGUCCACACUUCCACAGGUGUACACAAACACGCCACUGAAGGUCAGUGUUUUGCUCUACUGUGAGAACUGUGCUAUGCCACAAAUGCUGAAGCAGCAAAGUGCUUUGCUGGAGUAUCAGGCGCCUCACCACACCAUUUGACCGGAGAAGAGCCUAAAUCUAGGGAAGUAAUGCUGGGAGGAAAAAAAGCAACUUUAAAAAAUGCCCCAUUCCAAUCAGAAGAUAAAAAGAAGUGACAAUAGCUUCGCCUGGAGCCUGCUCACUCUCUAGCCAAAAGAUCUGUAAAUCUUCAGCCAAGCAACAGCCUCUUACACAAAAGCAUGUCGGUGAAAUGAAAGACUCUUGUACUAAUAGUGAACAUGACCAUAUAGUAUCGGCUGUGGCAGUACUAAGUCAGCUAAAGGCCCAAACCACCUGCUUGGCUGUGUGUGUUGCUGCCCUCCAUGCCUGCAGGCGGUGGAGGAUCAGCCAGGAUCUCCACGGCGGCUCUGAUACACAUUUUCAGAGUUAACUCAACAGCUUCACCAAAUACCCAGCAAUAUUUGCUUUUACCCAAAUCCCUUGAAGUCUGAGGGAAUGGAGACAGCAGCAGCCCAAGCUGAGCAGCCAAGAAAAGUAAAUUAUCCUUGGGUCAAGUGGAGUGGCCACAGGCAGCAAAGAUGCUGAUGAAUCAGCAGUUCCACAGACCUCUGCCCAUGCAGAGAAAAAUAAAUAGCUGGAACUUGGGAUUUAGAGCCAAACGCUCCUUGAAGCUGCAGGAAGUUAAAGAAAGCUGGAUCAUGCCAUCCCUCUGAAAGCAGCACCCGACCCCCAACCCUGGGGCUGGCCUCUUGUUGAGAAGGGGCUCAGGGUACAGGACACCACAGAGAAUCGGAAACUGCAGGAAAGAAGUUGGGAUUUAUUGUCCAA